Molecule: non-coding RNA, 26 nt
Filed under: Mus musculus (house mouse)
Lineage: Eukaryota; Metazoa; Chordata; Mammalia; Rodentia; Muridae
Source: RNAcentral
UCUUUGCCGUCUCCAGCAAGAGGUGG